ACGCUCGACACCUACGGAGGCAGCAGUCGGGAAUAUUGCGCAAUGGAGGGAACUCUGACGCAGUGACGCCGCGUAUAGGAAGAAGGUUUUCGGAUUGUAAACUAUUUUAGACAGGGAAGAAUAAAGACAGUACCUGUAGAAUAAGCUCCGGCUAACUACGUGCCAGCAGCCGACGGUAAUCUGAGGCGGGCGUGGACGAAGGC
Molecule: ribosomal RNA, 203 nt
Filed under: uncultured bacterium
Lineage: Bacteria
Description: partial 16S ribosomal RNA
Rfam family: Bacterial small subunit ribosomal RNA
Source: RNAcentral